This is a long non-coding RNA of Rhea pennata, 1127 nucleotides long. RefSeq lists it as uncharacterized. NCBI's taxonomy places the organism in Eukaryota, Metazoa, Chordata, Aves, Rheiformes, Rheidae. The record is from RefSeq and is a predicted model, not a curated record. The transcript has 2 exons.
UUCUGUCACUGCGAGUCGCAGUCAAUACGGCUAGCCACUGUCUGCUGCUGACCUCUGCCCAAGAACAUGCCUUCUCCCCAGACUCUUUCUUUCUUGUUACAUCUUCUCCUCUUCUUGAAGAUAUUCUGCUUUGGUGCUAUGAGGAAGAGAAGAAAAGCGAUUUAUUUAUGAAAAUUGAACUGCCUUCGAAAGUGCGCUACUGAUUGCAAUCCCUGACCACAACAGACUGCUUCCCCCUUAAAAUACACAAGCAGUAGAAAAUGAGGUACAAAGAAAACUAAUUCCUAAUGAAACUGUAUGGUAUUAACUGCACCUUGUAGUAAAAGAAAUCAGAAUUCAGCAUACCAAAGAAAAUGCUAUACAUUUCCAGUGAAAUCAGAAGUAAAAUGAUGAACAUUCACACUGCACAAUGUUUGUAUUGUUUGCUCCAAUUACUCUCACAAAGAAAUACGACAGACCACUUGACCUUCUAAGAUACCCUUCCUUUCUCUCUUCACAUUGAAGAUACUCUAUACUCUGCACUCUAACCUUCAGGUAAAAACUUUCUGCCAAAGGACAAACUUCAGAUAAAUAUCAAAUAUUAAUAUACCUAACGAAAUUCCUCAUACGGACUCUUCCAAGUAAGAAACCAUCACCGAUACCAGGAAAGUGGACUCUCUUCUGCUCCCUGCCUUCCGCUUACACAGGAAAGCCCAUAGACAUUGCCAAUAUUUUGCAAGCCACAGCCCCUGACCGAAAUCAUUUAAAAAUGAAAAUACAAAGGGAAGCCAAUCAGAAAAUAUUUAGUAACAUGGAAUUACAUCUUCAAUCAACUCCCUUCUCUGGGAUGCUCAGCAAGCCAAGCCCUCUUUGUGUCUGCUUUCUGGAGUAUGACUUCACUGGAGCAGAAAUUUCCUUUUUGUUUUGUGUGCAGCACAAGACACAAAUGUUGACGGUACUUUGCAAAUAAAAGAUUGCAGCAGAACAUGAACUCUAAGAAAGUGAUCACAGAAGUAAUUUGAUGAACCUAAAACUUUGUUUCUAGAAUAUAGCUUGGGAUUUUUUUUAAGUGCCAAAAUACUUAAAAAGAAAAAAAUAACCUUGUAUGAGUUUACUUAAAUAAAAAAGAAAGUGAUUAUAUAAUCAUA